RNAcentral lists this microRNA precursor (112 nucleotides) under Bombyx mori (domestic silkworm). Its description in RNAcentral is "microRNA bmo-mir-6498 precursor". The record is from miRBase by way of RNAcentral. Lineage: Eukaryota; Metazoa; Arthropoda; Insecta; Lepidoptera; Bombycidae.
AGUGCGGACGCGAGUGCGACGCGUCUGUUGUCGCAGCCGUGCAGUCUCGGACUAGUGCGUGUUUGUUUGAACGUCUGCGAUGAUACAGUUUCGGGCACUCGCAGGACCCGUC